CUAAGCAAAGGCAGUCGACUAGAACAAUAGCACAAUCACAUAAUGCAAGAACAAGGUCAUUAUCUUCCUUUCCCGGAAAAUAGCCAACCUCAUCUCAUUUCCCCGGAAACCAUGGGAAAGAAAAACAAGAGAAUGAGAAAAGCUUCCAACUUUAUAACUAAAAAUUAGGGAGAAAUACCAUUUAGUUGGUGGUCAAUGGUAAGAACUUGGAAUUAUAAGAUUUGCUUUCUCUGUGUGAUUUCAGGUUCGAGCCAUGUGGUUGCUCAUAUGAUAACUACUAAAGACUUACAUGGUCGUUAACUUCAGGGUUCGUGGAAUCAGUUGAGAUGCGUGCAAACUAACCCGGACAUCCACGUUAAACUAAAAAAAUAUAAUUAGAGAGAAAUGUUGGAGUUGUGGAAAUGGUACCAAAAUUGCUUGGCUGUGCAUCCAGUUAAGAAACAAGUGAUUAGCUCAGGGUUUAUUUGGGGAUUUGGUGAUAUAGCUGCAAAAUCCAUCGCUCACCAUACAGCCAAGAAAUAUCAUCAAAUCAAGGUAUGAAGGGUUGCCGAUUUAUUAGAUCACGACUUCUAAUGCGUCCAAAUUCCUUGCGGUUUGUUGGUGCUAAAGUAGCAAUUGAUGGGUUCCUCUUUGGACCACUGGAUCUGCUUGUAUUUUUCAGUUACAUGGGUUUUGCCACUGGAAAGAGCGUUCCCCAAAUCAGGAAAGAUUUGAAGAGGGACUUGAUACCAGCUUUUGUUUUGGAAGGAGGUAUACGGCCAAUUGUUCGAGUUGCGAAUUUCCGAUUUGUACCUGUGAGGUAUCAACUCUUGUAUGUCAACUUCUUCUGCUUGUUGGAUAGUUGUUUUCUGUCAUGGCUUGAGUAGCAAGAGGAUGCUCCUUGGAAGCAAUGGUUGAUAUCUCUUCUCCCUUCCAAGGAGCAAAAAGAUCUAGGUGGAUGAUUUCUUGUCUUCAAGUUCUUAAUGUUUCAUUCCGAGGCAUAGUAAUCAUAGUGGGUGUACAGGUAAGAGAAAAGGGUUUCAAAAAAAGUAAAUAAGGCUUAAUCGGCAACUUCAAAUUUUCAUGCGAGCCAUUCAGACAAGUCAUAGGAUUACUCUUUUGCUGUGCAGUUUUUGCUUCGAAUACAAGGAAGCUUAUAUUGAUUGUUUUCCCAACCCUGUCUUUUUUAUUUCUUAAAAUCAAAGACAUCAUUGGCACUUUUUUGGUUAGUGGUUUGGUGAUUUUACGAGGUAUGAAAUCUUUAGAAACAGAUGCUGAUGGGAUUCUAUUUGCAUUGCUGGAGUCUUCCCUACUUCUGGGGUCUUCUGUAAAUUAACAUUUGUAACUUGUGAAAAACAGGACCAACCGAUUCUAGUGUUUGAUGGAA
This is an RNA transcript of Populus trichocarpa (black cottonwood), 1366 nucleotides long. It is a transcript of the gene named protein sym-1, with no coding region annotated. The record is from RefSeq and is a predicted model, not a curated record. The transcript has 2 exons. NCBI's taxonomy places the organism in Eukaryota, Viridiplantae, Streptophyta, Magnoliopsida, Malpighiales, Salicaceae.